GUACACGCUGUGACUAGCAUAUCAAUAAGCGGAGGAAAAGAAACUAACAAGGAUUCCCCUAGUAACGGCGAGUGGAAGCGGGAAGAGCUCAAAUUUGAAAUCUUAAAGGGUUUCCCUUUACGAAUUGUAGUUUAAAGAAGUGUUUUCUGUUGAGGUUUUGGUAAAAGUUCUUUGGAAUAGGACAUCAUAGAGGGUGAGAAUCCCGUAUUUGACCUUUACUUUCAACUUUGUGAUACACUUUCAAAGAGUCGGAUUGUUUGGGUAAUGCAGUCCAAAAUGGGUGGUAAAUUUCAUCUAAAGCUAAAUAUUGGCGAGAGACCGAUAGCGAACAAGUACCGUGAGGGAAAGAUGAAAAGAACUUUGAAAAGAGAGUUAAACAGUACGUGAAAUUGUCAAAAGGGAAGCGUUUGACACCAGUGUUGUUUUUCUGAAAAUCAAUUAAAGAACUGUUUAUGCUAAGUUGUUUAGACUUUAUCAGCUAACUGUUUAGUUUUGAGCUUUUCUUUAAUGCACUUUUCAGUUAACAAGUCAACAUCAAUUUCUUUUGCUGUAAAAAAGCUUGAGGAAGGUGGCUUGAGAUUCGUCUUAAGUGUUUAUAGCCUCUUGCCUAUGCAGUCGGAGAGAUUGAGGUCUGCAGCGUAGAUCCUUCGGGGCUAAAUGCAUUUGUGCUAAGUUAUAGCAUUUUAUAGACAACUUGUUGACUAUGAUUUGUCUUGUAGCUUACCUCGCUUAUGUUAUUUUACCUACGCUUAGGAUGUUGACAGCAGUAUAGACUGUA
RNAcentral lists this ribosomal RNA (778 nucleotides) under uncultured Neocallimastigales. RNAcentral's name for it is "partial large subunit ribosomal RNA". It matches the Rfam family "Eukaryotic large subunit ribosomal RNA", at positions 22 to 630 of the family's 3401-position model. The record is from RNAcentral. Lineage: Eukaryota; Fungi; Neocallimastigomycota; Neocallimastigomycetes; Neocallimastigales.